GAGUUUGAUCCUGGCUCAGGAUGAACGCUGGCGGCGUGCCUAAUACAUGCAAGUCGAACGCACUGAUUUUAUCAGUGAGUGGCGAACGGGUGAGUAAUACAUAAGUAACCUGCCCUCAUGAGGGGGAUAACUAUUAGAAAUGAUAGCUAAGACCGCAUAGGUGAAGGGGUCGCAUGACCGCUUCAUUAAAUAUCCGUAAGGAUAGCAGGAGGAUGGACUUAUGGCGCAUUAGCUGGUUGGUGAGGUAACGGCUCACCAAGGCGACGAUGCGUAGCCGACCUGAGAGGGUGGACGGCCACACUGGGACUGAGACACGGCCCAGACUCCUACGGGAGGCAGCAGUAGGGAAUUUUCGGCAAUGGGGGAAACCCUGACCGAGCAACGCCGCGUGAGGGAAGAAGUAUUUCGGUAUGUAAACCUCUGUUAUAAAGGAAGAACGGUAUGAAUAGGAAAUGAUUCAUAAGUGACGGUACUUUAUGAGAAAGCCACGGCUAACUACGUGCCAGCAGCCGCGGUAAUACGUAGG
RNAcentral lists this ribosomal RNA (526 nucleotides) under uncultured bacterium. RNAcentral's name for it is "bacterial SSU rRNA". It matches the Rfam family "Bacterial small subunit ribosomal RNA", at positions 9 to 531 of the family's 1533-position model. The record is from RNAcentral.